UGAUGUUGUAUACUUAUGGUUGCAACAAUCAAUAAUUGUAUAUCGUUAUACGUCAUAUAAUGAAUGAUAAUAGAGAAAAUGUGGUUAUGUGUAUAUGUGUGUGGACCGUGACGUUUCUAUAAUUGUAGCUUGAGAAGAUAGUAAAAUACAAACGAAGCAAGCAACUCUCCUGGUCACGGGCAUUUGUCCUUUAACUCUAUUUUGAUGAAUUUUCUCAAUUUUCAUAUUAACUAUGUUAAGGUCUAAUUUAUAUAUCUAUUAUUUUUUCCACAGUAGAAAGUCUGGUGAAACGUAUAUUAUAAAACAUAGUUCACGUGAAGUAAAACUAUUUGGAGUUUGCUGAAAUUUACCCAUAAUCCAUAUAUAUGCAUGAAUGCAAGGAUUCGGGUAAGAAUUAUCUAGUUGUAAUUAGAAUGAAAACUGAUAGCUUAUAGACUUAUAGUGAGUGACAAUGUAGGUUAGUAUUUUUGCCACAAAAUUUUUGUGGAACCUACGUUUUUGAGAUUUGAAAACAUUCAGAAUUAAUUAACUAAGAAUAUCAAAAGACAAUCAUAAAUCUGAGCAAAAAUAUAAGCAAACUAUAUACUAUGAGUAUGAUUUAAGUAACUUGGUGGUCGUCACUCAUGAGAAUAACGAAUCAAUAUACAACAAUUUAUAGAUUCUUAAGAUUAUCAAGAAUAAAUGAGCAAAUAUUAUUUAUCGUCUACGUACGUACAUGUAGUUAAGUUAGGCAUUAGAAGAAAAAAAAAGAUAGGCAUUCGAAUACUUCAAUCGUUUCAUUAAGAAAAGACUUGUUGAUCGAUGUGGUUAAUUUAUGAAGAAAAAACUUGUUACUUAAUAAAUACUCCUACUACUAAAAUAAGUACAAAUCAUGGAUUUGGUGAUUAGAAUAUAAUUAACUAAUUGAUUUGAAGGUUGACUCUUUUCAACCAAUACACGUACGUAUCAGUGUAUCAACCAUGCAACGGUUUACCAAAAAAAAAAAAAAAACAUGCAACGUACACGUAAAGUUGAAUUCAGGUCAUGAAUGCCCUCAUGAGACAUGAAAAGGUUGAAUUCAGGUCGCCCGCAUGGUUUGAACUUGAAAAUGACACUAGACUGGUUAUUAAACAUCUUUAAAUCAUAUUUUCCGUCAAUGUAUUGUUAAUUAAUAUUAUGAUUGCAACUGCAGCUCUUAAACUCCAUUUAUUUGUUUUGGCAUAUAUUCAUGCAUAAUACAACUGUUAUAAUGCUAACUACAAUAUAAAAUUUUGAAUUCUUUGUUCAGAAGUAAACAAAAUAUUUUUAGAAAGGAAAUAAAUAUUGAGAUGACACCCAUGUUUAUACUCCAUUUGUUUCAUAAUAAGUGUCAUUUAAACUUUUUUUUCUUGUUAUACAAAAAUAUCAAUUUACAAUUCCAAUGCAAAUUAUACUUAUUUUCAGCUGAAAAUUAACUAUAAAUUGCAUUGAUUUUAUAAAUAAUUUUAUUUAUCUCAAAUACUAUUAGUCAGAGAAGUGUAAUUAAUAACAAUUUACAUUUAUUUCAGCAACUUUUUUAAUUUGUGCGAAAAAUGUCAUAGUGACUCUUAUUCAUAAACGCAAGGGAGUGUUAUUUAUUCGUAUCAUAUAAAACAUGAACGUAUAAGACAAAGAUUAAGUCAGUGAAGUAUCUUAUCGUUGAUAUAUAUAGAUAAUUUACUUACCAUAAUCUGUACAAUUAGUUGGCUAAAAAGGAAACGAAUGCAACUUGAAGAUUUUUGUUUCCUUCAUAGAUUAUAUGAUGAAGAAGCUAUAUGGUAUUUAACAAUGGCUUCAACUGUUAACACAGAACGGUCAGAAACAAACAAAAAGACUACCGACAAAAUAAAAGAUAUCAAAAAGACAAAUUAUCUUUUGCUACAUUCUUGUCUCAAUCUCCCUCUUCUUUCCUCCCAAUCUCUUUGACUAGCUUCGGUUCAGUUUCCGGUGAUCACCAACCGGAUCUGGUCCAAGAAAGAAUCUCGUCGACAAUAUCAACAAGCAUUCUCUCUCAACCAACUCUGUCUCCUCCUUUUGAUUGCUGCUUUACUUACUUUUAGCUCCAACGAUGGCCAUUGCAUUAGUUUCCGUGUAAUUUGGAGAGUUUUCUCAUAGAACUUGAGAUCUGUUUUUGGUUGGUGAGAUUGUUAAUGCGUUGAGAAUUGUCGGUUCAUAAACUCAUGAGAUUAUGAGAAUGCGGUCGUGUUAAUCCGGAAAUUGUGGUUGACUUGAGUGAGAGAGAUUCUUGAUUUUUUCGAGGAGUAAUAAUAAUAAAUGUUUCCCCUGGUUUUGCGUGGUGAUGAUUACACUUACCUUGACUUAAUGAUCUGAUUAGUCUUCUUAUAGAGACUUAAAGCGUGGAAUCUAUUUGAUGAGAUUUAGAAAUGUGUAAAGCGGAGAAGUGUCUAUACCACAGGAAGCUCUUAGAGAUGAAGGUUAAGUAUCUAGGAGAAACCAAGAUUGACAAGUUCAAGAUCUCCUUGGUUUCCAGGUCUCGUAUGAGCCUAUGGAUGAUUCGGGUUAUGACCAUAUUGCUGAUAUGGAGUUGUUUUGUUCAUUUGGUUGCUUUGGGUGGGAUGUGGGGACAAAGGUUGCUGAAAGGCUGGCCUUGUUGGCUCAGCCACCAUGAGUUCCCAAUGGCUGCACAAGAAAUGGCUUCUCUUCCAAUGAAAAUAGCCCUCCCUCCUAAAAGGAUAUAUCAGAACAAUGGUUAUCUUAUGGUUUCUUGCAAUGGAGGACUCAACCAAAUGCGAGCUGCGAUAUGUGAUAUGGUCACUAUUGCAAGGUACAUGAAUGUCACACUCAUUGUCCCAGAGCUUGACAAGGCCUCUUUUUGGAAUGAUCCAAGUGAAUUCAAAGACAUAUUUGAUGUGGAUCACUUCAUAACUUCUUUGAGAGAUGAGGUUCGUAUACUCAAAGAGGUUCCUCCAAGGCUUAGGAGAAGGGUCGAGCUCGGUGUGUACCACACCAUGCCUCCUGUUAGCUGGUCUAACAUGUCCUACUACCAAGACCAGAUUCUUCCCUUGGUGAAGAAGCACAAGGUCUUACAACUGAACAAAACAGAUACUCGGCUUGCCAAUAACGAACUUCCUGUCGAGGUUCAGAAGCUGAGAUGUAGAGUAAAUUUCAACGGGCUUAGGUUCACUCCAAAGAUUGAGGAACUAGGUAGAAGAGUAGUCAAGAUUCUGAGGGAGAAAGGUCCCUUUCUGGUUCUCCAUCUCAGAUACGAAAUGGACAUGUUGGCAUUCUCUGGUUGCUCUCACGGUUGCAACCGCUACGAAGAGGAAGAACUCACAAGAAUGAGAUAUGCUUAUCCAUGGUGGAAAGAGAAAAUAAUAAACUCAGAGUUGAAGAGGAAAGAAGGUCUUUGCCCAUUGACUCCUGAAGAAACAGCUCUGACACUAUCGGCCUUAGGCAUUGACCGUAAUGUUCAAAUUUACAUAGCUGCCGGAGAGAUAUACGGUGGUAAAAGGAGGUUAAAGGCUUUAACAGACGUCUUUCCAAAUGUGGUCAGGAAAGAAACUCUGCUCGAUUCGUCUGAUUUGAGUUUUUGUAAGAACCGUUCUUCUCAAAUGGCUGCUCUUGAUUACCUGAUCUCUCUAGAAAGUGAUAUAUUCGUUCCUACUUAUUAUGGGAACAUGGCCAAAGUCGUGGAAGGUCACCGCAGGUUCUUGGGGUUCAAGAAAACGAUUGAGCUAAAGAGGAAGUUCUUGGUUGAUCUAAUAGAUGAAUACUAUGAAGGACUGUUGAGCUGGGAAGUGUUUUCGACCAGGGUGAAGGCCUCUCACGGUACAAGAAUGGGAGGUCCCAAGAAGCGGCUUGUGAUUCCGAGUAAACCUAAAGAAGAAGACUACUUCUAUGCUAAUCCAUAUGAAUGUCUUCAGCUAUUACGUGAGAGUAGUGGCAAUUCACCAGAAGAAACAAUGUGAUCUGAUCCACACCAUUGUCGAUGGAGAUCAUGGAGCCGGAGAUCUUUGGAUUGUAUAUCAAUCUGGAAGAUGGGGUUUAAAAGGGGACCAAUCACCCCCCCAGUGAGACGUUAUUUGAGGUUCUUUGGUCUACAGCGACUUUCUGAAGAGCUAUCAAUGUUUUGAGGGAAGUGUAAGAAAAUAAAUGCUUUACCCACAAGAUAGAAGUCAUCUCAUUAUGCAUUUUACAAACAAAUGUUACAGUUUCUAUUCUAAUAUAUGAGCCUUUUUUUAGCAACAAAUGUUACAGUUUCUAUUCUAGUAUCAUAUGUAGAAGUCCUCUCAUUAUGCAUUUUACAAUCAAAUGUUACAGUUUCUAUUCUAAUACAUGAGCCUUCUAAUAUAUGAGCCUAAACUCAGAGAAUACAUAGUUUGAAGCAAAAAAAAAAAAAAGGUAACAAAACAUUAAUUAAAAAAACAUAUAUUUAUAUAUAUAUAUAUAGGCCUGGUUAACGUUGUCUUCUCACAUAAUGAACUUCUAAUUAAGUUUCUUAAACUACUUAAAUGACCAUCAAUUAUGGAUUGGGCUCCUUUUCCUUCCUUUCAUACGUGAAGAAUAAUCGCCUCUCAUUAGAUUAUCGAUCUCUUUUGCUGAAUCUGUUGACGGUAAACCUUUUGUUGAUCUUUUCUUUGUUCCAGACUCGAUAGGUUUUGAACUUUUUAACUGCCAGAAAACAUAUAUGAUUAUAUAUAAGGAAACAUGCUUAUAUGAAUCUUCCUCACUCAUAUUUGUAUUUUUCACGACUAUAUUUUCACAAUUAACAAUAAGAUACUGUAGCUAUUGAUUAAUGUGUACCUUUCGUCCCAUCAAGAGAGGUUCACUUCGGCUCACCAUAAGACCAUAAUCUUCAUAUUUGGAUCCACCUACAUCUAUGUUUCCACCUGUAAGUUCUCAAAGACUACAACAUCAGCAUCACAUGGUUAUGUACUCAUAUGUUUAGGUAUACUGAGAAGACAAACACAUGCAUGAUGUAUUGUAGAUAUCAACGCGCGCACACACACACACACAUAAAUAGAUGCUUACCAUCGUCAUAAGAAACAACGCACAAAU
Molecule: RNA transcript, 5016 nt
Organism: Brassica rapa (field mustard)
Lineage: Eukaryota; Viridiplantae; Streptophyta; Magnoliopsida; Brassicales; Brassicaceae
Gene name: rhamnogalacturonan I rhamnosyltransferase 1
Source: RefSeq, a predicted model, not a curated record